Long non-coding RNA from Homo sapiens (human), 3170 nucleotides. The record is from Ensembl. NCBI's taxonomy places the organism in Eukaryota, Metazoa, Chordata, Mammalia, Primates, Hominidae.
UAUUAAUAAUUGUUCAUUAAAAUCAUUGUGUCUCAGAGGCAACCACAUUUUUCUAGUCAAUUUUGGCUUUAAUUGUGGCUGUCCUAAGACUUUUGGUCAUCCAAAAGUGGUCUUGUUUUGGUUCUCUUUAAAAGGUGGUUUAGAAUUAACUGUAGGACUCUACUGGUGCUUUUAAAUGCAGAUUUCUGAUAAGUUUGGACAUUGUGACAUCAGAACAGAGGGAAACCUUUCAGGACUCAGGGAGAGCUAAAAUGUUCAUAAAUAUCAAGCAGAACAGAAGUUAACUGCAUGGACUAAACUAGCAAAAGUCUAAAGUAACCUUUUUAACUUUUUGUGUAAAAUGUUGCUGAUCUUUUGUGUUUCAGAGUCAAGAAAACUUUUGAGCUAUUAUAGCUUUUAGCAAUUGAGUAAAGUAUACUUGUGUGAACAAAAUUGAGAGCAUAUUUUUUUCUUUUUACCUGAUUUCUCUGGAUUUUGUAAACUAGUUGUGAGUAUUCUUAAUUUAUGGCAAUAUAGUUAUUUGCAUGAGUGUAAUAAGAAUCUGUUGGGUUUUGUUUUGUUUUCUUUAUUAUUAUUAUUAUUUUUGGCAACAAGACACAAUUGGAGAAACUGAUUAUUUUACGAAGACUUUGAUGGAAUGGUAUACUCUCCUUUAAGGAAUCAAACUUGACUUGCCAAGUCAAUAAAAGCCCCUUGGAGAAAUGGCCUCAGACCUUUGCUACAACAGUCCCUGUACGUGAUUUCUGACCUGUGGUAAGUAAAUAAUGUCACCUUCUAACAGGUCCAGGAGCCCCAAGUUAUCUUGGGACCCCAAGAGGAGAGGAAUUUACUAAACUCAUAGGUAUUUGAGGGUACAAACCCAUGGUAGGGCUCAGCUCAAAAAGAGUCUUAUCUAAGAUUCCUUCUAAGAAACAAAGUUUCAUCAAAGCCAGUGUUAAAAGUCUAUGUGAAAAAUAAUUAUUCUUGCUGUACUUUAUACAAAUAAUCAGGCCAAGUAUAAUAAAGCAAAUUAGUCUCACUAUGACUUAUCUUUAGUGAAAAUGGAAAACAGGAGAGAGAAUAUUAUGUUUCAAGACCUAUGUUACACUUGUUAUUAAAUUCUAGUCUCAUCAGUUGUUAAGUUUGUUUCUGCAGUUUAGGCUAACCCUGCUUCUUCCUGUGAACCAACCGGUGAUCUUUGUUUGCUACUCUGAAAAAACAAGACAUUUUGGUAAUGUAAAAAUCUGGAUCAGUAUUCUAAUUCUGGGCAUGUAUUGGAAUUGGCUAACCACCUCAUGUCAGCUUGGUUCCAGUAGUUGCCCAGUUCAUGAAGAGCCUUAUAAUUUAGUUUAUUUGGGAUAAUUUUGCUUAUUUUGUUAUAUUGCUGUUUUACUCUUUGUGUAGGAAUGCAGACUAAGCUUGCUAAAUGUUUUCUUAAACUAAAUACUUAUUAGUCUUUCAGAUAUCACCUUUCAUCAGGACUCAAGAGUUCUGAAUGGCCUUCAUCAUACUGAGGCUUUCUGACUGAGCUCCUCUCUACCCUGAACACAGAGACCCUAAUAGUUAGGCAGGAAUAUCAUUUCCCCUAUUCAGCCUGAAGAAGUUACAGAAGAUGAAUCUUUGUCCCCCUACAACCUUAGGAUUAAGGGUUCUCUUAUAAAAGGGAGGGAGGAAAUGUCUAAGACAUGUGAACUAGAGCAACUUCAUCCUGAAGAGGAGCUGAGUAAAAUAAGGCUGAAACCUACUGGGCUGCAUUCUUAGACAGUUAAGGCAUUCUAAGUCACAGGAUGAGAUAGGAGGUUAGCACAAGAUACAGGUCCUUAAAACCUUGCUGAUAAAACAGUUUGCAGUAAAGAAACCAGCCAAAACCCACCAAAACCAAUAUGGCCACGAGAGUGACCUCUGGUCAUCCUCACUGCUACACUCCCACCAGCGCCAUAAUAGUUCACAAAUACCAUAGCAACAUCAGGAUGUAACCCUGCAUAAAUAAUGCACCCCUUGUUUAGCAUAUGAUCAAGAAAUAACCAUAAUAAUAGGCAACCAGCAGCCCUCAGGGAUGCUCUGUCUUUGGAGUAGCCAUUCUCUUAUUCCUCUACUUUCUUAAUAAACUUGCUUUCACUUUACUCAGACUCCUCAUAAAUUCUUUCUUGCACAAGAUCCAAGAACCCUCUCUUGGAGUCUGAUUGGGACCUUUUUCUUGUGACAGAUUCUGCCAGUUUCUGUUCUUGGCAGGUUCCAUUUCUACAAAUUCCUCAUCUCUAUAGGUUUAGGAUCAGAAUGUUCCAGCAGGGGAGCAUUACAGCUGUUUCAAUCCUCAGGGAGACUACUCAUCUUGGGAAUAAUUCCUUCCUGGAGUGAUUGGAAAAUAAUUCCUAAAAGAAAUUGAAAAGUCAAAUUGUUGAACGAACUGAGCUGGUCUAAAGGUGCAUAUCUUGGUAAGGCUCUGUGAAGAAAUGACCUAAUCUGGAGAGAAGCUGUUGGGACACUCGUCUGUGUGUGGCCUGUGGCUCACAGGGGGCUCAUGAACGUCACAGACCCUGAGAUACCGGUCUCACUGUCCUCAACUAUCAAAUGAGGAGGUUGCACCAAAGAACCCCUAAAGCCCCUCCCACCUCUAAUCGCCUAUGGGACUGUCCAUUCUUCUUAAGGAUCAUUAUAGACACACAGCAGGGAACAUAAAGUAGACAAAUUCUGAGAAACAGCUAAGAAAAGUACUACAGACCCACCAGAAUGGGAGUAUAAAUUGGGCUUCAUCUGCCCCAUUGCAACCUAGACUUCCUUUGCCUUAUGAUUUGGCUCAAUGGCAUCUGUGACAAGGUAGCUUGAAGUUGACACCAGUGCAUCCCUGGAGAUUGGAUGGGCUGGGCUCAGAAUCCCAUACAUCCUUUACAGCCUUUUUUUUCCUCACCCUAUCCAUACCCUCACCCUACUAGAAUUAUGCAUGCACUUGUUGAAAACAGCCCUAGCAAAGUAAAUCUAGGCUCCUUAGGCCAUGAUUAAGGGCCCUUGAAGAAGUCAAAUUACCUAAGAAACUCUAGACAUGCACUCUCCAAUAUGCAAGCCACUAGUUCGUGUCUACUGAGCUCCUGAAUUGUGGCUAGUGCUAAUGGAGAUGUGCUGUAAGCAUGAAAUGCACACCAGAUGUACAAGACUUAGUAUGAAAAAAUAUAUUAAAAUCUCAUUAAUAGUAA